RNAcentral lists this ribosomal RNA (484 nucleotides) under uncultured bacterium. RNAcentral describes it as "partial 16S ribosomal RNA". It matches the Rfam family "Bacterial small subunit ribosomal RNA", at positions 29 to 507 of the family's 1533-position model. The record is from RNAcentral.
AGUGAACGCUGGCGGCAGGCCUAACACAUGCAAGUCGAGCGGAUGAAGGGAGCUUGCUCCUGGAUUCAGCGGCGGACGGGUGAGUAAGGCCGAGGAAUCUGCCUGGUAGUGUGGGAUAACGUCCGGAAACGGGCGCUAAUACCGCAUUCGUCCUUAGGGAGAACGGGUGGGAUCUUCGGACCUCACGCUAUCAGAUGAUCCUAGGUCGGAUUAGCUAGUUGGUGGGGUAAAGGCCUACCAAGGCGACGAUCCGUAACUGGUCUGAGAGGAUGAUCAGUCACACUGGAACUGAGACACGGUCCAGACUCCUACGGGAGGCAGCAGUGGGGAAUAUUGGACAAUGGGCGCAAGCCUGAUCCAGCCAUGCCGCGUGUGUGAAGAAGGUCUUCGGAUUGUAAAGCACUUUAAGUUGGGAGGAAGAGCAGUAAGUUAAUACCCUGCUGCUUUGACGUUACCAACAGAAUAAGCACCGGCUAACUUCGUG